UAAGGAAUAUUGGUCAAUGGAGGGAACUCUGAACCAGCCAUGCCGCGUGCAGGAUGACGGCCCUCUGGGUUGUAAACUGCUUUUAUUCGGGAAUAAACCUACUUACGUGUAAGUAGCUGAAUGUACCGAAGGAAUAAGGAUCGGCUAACUCCGUGCCAGCAGCCGCGGUAAUACGGAGGAUCCAAGCGUUAUCCGGAUUUAUUGGGUUUAAAGGGUGCGUAGGCGGCUUAUUAAGUCAGGGGUGAAAGACGGUGGCUCAACCAUCGCAGUGCCCUUGAUACUGAGGAGCUUGAAUACACUAGAGGUAGGCGGAAUGUGACAAGUAGCGGUGAAAUGCAUAGAUAUGUCACAGAACACCGAUUGCGAAGGCAGCUUACUAUGGUGUGAUUGACGCUGAGGCACGAAAGCGUGGGGAUCAAACA
Molecule: ribosomal RNA, 422 nt
Filed under: uncultured prokaryote
Description: bacterial SSU rRNA
Rfam family: Bacterial small subunit ribosomal RNA
Source: RNAcentral